This is a non-coding RNA of Acanthosepion pharaonis, 98 nucleotides long. Lineage: Eukaryota; Metazoa; Mollusca; Cephalopoda; Sepiida; Sepiidae. The record is from the annotation of a GenBank genome assembly.
UUGAAACACUGGUUUUCGUACGAUUACCGAAGUUAAGCAAUGUCGAUCCUGAUAAGUACCAAGAUAGGUGACCGCUUGGGAAUACCAGGUGCUGUAAG